AGAGUUUGAUCCUGGCUCAGAAUCAACGCUGGCGGCGCGCCUAACACAUGCAAGUCGAACGAGAAAGGGGAGCAAUCCCUGAGUAAAGUGGCGUACGGGUGAGUAACACGUGGGUAAUCUGCCCUUUGGUGGGGAAUAACCCUGGGAAACCGGGGCUAAUACCGCAUAAGUCCGAGAGGGGAAAGCAGCAAUGCGCCGAAGGAGGAGCCCGCGGCCGAUUAGCUAGUUGGUAGGGUAAAGGCCUACCAAGGCAAAGAUCGGUAGCCGGCCUGAGAGGGCACACGGCCACACUGGCACUGAAACACGGGCCAGACUCCUACGGGAGGCAGCAGUGGGGAAUCUUGCACAAUGGGGGAAACCCUGAUGCAGCGACGCCGCGUGAGCGAUGAAGCCCUUCGGGGUGUAAAGCUCUUUCGGCAGGGAAGAUGAUGACGGUACCUGCAAAAGCAGCUGCGGCUAACUACGUGCCAGCAGCCGCGGUAAUACGUAGGCAGCAAGCGUUGUUCGGAGUUACUGGGCGUAAAGGGUGUGUAGGCGGUUUGGUAAGUCUGGUGUGAAAUCUCCCGGCUCAACUGGGAGGGUGCGCCGGAAACUGCCGGACUCGAGUGCGGGAGAGGAGAGUGGAAUUCCUGGUGUAGCGGUGAAAUGCGUAGAUAUCAGGAGGAACACCGGUGGUGUAGACGGCUCUCUGGACCGUAACUGACGCUGAAACACGAAAGCGUGGGUAGCAAACAGGAUUAGAUACCCUGGUAGUCCACGCCCUAAACGAUGCAUAUUUGGUGUGGGUCAUUCAGUUGAUCCGUGCCGGAGCUAACGCGUUAAAUAUGCCGCCUGGGGAGUACAGUCGCAAGGCUGAAACUCAAAGGAAUUGACGGGGCCCGCACAAGCGGUGGAGCAUGUGGUUCAAUUCGACGCAACGCGAGA
This 924-nucleotide ribosomal RNA is filed under the name uncultured bacterium. RNAcentral describes it as "bacterial SSU rRNA". It matches the Rfam family "Bacterial small subunit ribosomal RNA", at positions 8 to 966 of the family's 1533-position model. The record is from RNAcentral.